CAGAAGUCAGGUCGGAUCAAGCCAUAGUACGGAAAAAACUAUGCUACCUGUGAGCCCCGUCCAAGGACGUAAAAAGAAGUCAGGCCACUACAAGUGCCAUAGCUUGAGUAAACUAUGCAGCCUGUAGCUCCACCUGAGAAGGUGUAAAAAAUCUGGGAGGCCACAAACCAUGGAAGCUGUACGCAUGGCGUAGUGGACUAGCGGUUAGAGGAGACCCCUCCCUUACAAAUCGCAGCAACAAUGGGGGCCCAAGGUGAGAUGAAGCUGUAGUCUCACUGAAAGGACUAGAGGUUAGAGGAGACCCCCCCGAAAUAAAAAACAGCAUAUU
RNAcentral lists this long non-coding RNA (328 nucleotides) under dengue virus type 2. Its description in RNAcentral is "Dengue virus type 2 partial sfRNA1". The stretch from base 243 to 314 matches the Rfam family "Flavivirus DB element". Lineage: Riboviria; Orthornavirae; Kitrinoviricota; Flasuviricetes; Amarillovirales; Flaviviridae. The record is from RNAcentral.